AACGAACGCUGGCGGCAUGCCUAACACAUGCAAGUCGAACGAGACCUUCGGGUCUAGUGGCGCACGGGUGCGUAACGCGUGGGAACCUGCCCUUAGGUUCGGAAUAACUCCCCGAAAGGGGUGCUAAUACCGGAUAAUGUCUUCGAACCAAAGAUUUAUCGCCUUUGGAUGGGCCCGCGUUGGAUUAGCUAGUUGGUAGGGUAAAAGCCUACCAAGGCGACGAUCCAUAGCUGGUCUGAGAGGAUGAUCAGCCACACUGGGACUGAGACACGGCCCAGACUCCUACGGGAGGCAGCAGUGGGGAAUAUUGGACAAUGGGCGAAAGCCUGAUCCAGCAAUGCCGCGUGAGUGAUGAAGGCCUUAGGGUUGUAAAGCUCUUUUACCCGGGAUGAUAAUGACGGUACCGGGAGAAUAAGCUCCGGCUAACUCCGUG
This 433-nucleotide ribosomal RNA is filed under the name uncultured bacterium. RNAcentral's name for it is "partial 16S ribosomal RNA". It matches the Rfam family "Bacterial small subunit ribosomal RNA", at positions 29 to 507 of the family's 1533-position model. The record is from RNAcentral.